AUUGAACGCUGGCGGCAUGCCUUACACAUGCAAGUCGAACGGCAGCACGGGAGCAAUCCUGGUGGCGAGUGGCGAACGGGUGAGUAAUAUAUCGGAACGUGCCCAGUCGUGGGGGAUAACGUAGCGAAAGCUACGCUAAUACCGCAUACGAUCUAUGGAUGAAAGCGGGGGAUCGCAAGACCUAGCGCGAUUGGAGAGGCCGAUAUCAGAUUAGGUAGUUGGUGAGGUAAAGGCUCACCAAGCCGACGAUCUGUAGCUGGUCUGAGAGGACGACCAGCCACACUGGGACUGAGACACGGCCCAGACUCCUACGGGAGGCAGCAGUGGGGAAUUUCGGACAAUGGGCGCAAGCCUGAUCCAGCAAUGCCGCGUGCAGGAUGAAGGCCUUCGGGUUGUAAACUGCUUUUGUACGGAACGAAACGGUGAGCUCUAAUACAGUUUGCUAAUGACGGUACCGUAAGAAUAAGCACCGGCUAACUACGUGCCAGCAGCCGCCGUAA
RNAcentral lists this ribosomal RNA (500 nucleotides) under uncultured bacterium. Its description in RNAcentral is "partial 16S ribosomal RNA". It matches the Rfam family "Bacterial small subunit ribosomal RNA", at positions 30 to 523 of the family's 1533-position model. The record is from RNAcentral.